GAUGAACGCUGGCGGCGUGCUUAACACAUGCCAGUCGAACGAUGAAGCCCAGCUUGCUGGGUGGAUUAGUGGCGAACGGGUGAGUAACACGUGAGUAACCUGCCCUUAACUCUGGGAUAAGCCUGGGAAACUGGGUCUAAUACCGGAUAGGAGCGUCCACCGCAUGGUGGGUGUUGGAAAGAUUUAUCGGUUUUGGAUGGACUCGCGGCCUAUCAGCUUGUUGGUGAGGUAAUGGCUCACCAAGGCGACGACGGGUAGCCGGCCUGAGAGGGUGACCGGCCACACUGGGACUGAGACACGGCCCAGACUCCUACGGGAGGCAGCAGUGGGGAAUAUUGCACAAUGGGCGCAAGCCUGAUGCAGCGACGCCGCGUGAGGGAUAACGGCCUUCGGGUUGUAAACCUCUUUCAGUAGGGAAGAAGCGAAAGUGACGGUACCUGCAGAAGAAGCACCGGCUAACUACGUG
RNAcentral lists this ribosomal RNA (466 nucleotides) under uncultured bacterium. Its description in RNAcentral is "partial 16S ribosomal RNA". It matches the Rfam family "Bacterial small subunit ribosomal RNA", at positions 28 to 507 of the family's 1533-position model. The record is from RNAcentral.